GAUGAACGCUGGCGGCGUGCCUAAUACAUGCAAGUCGAGCGAACAGACGAUGAUCUUGCGCCUCUGACGUUAGCGGCGGACGGGUGAGUAACACGUGUAUAACCUACCUGUAAGACUGGGAUAACUUCGGGAAACCGGAGCUAAUACCGGAUAAUAUAUUGCACCGCAUGGGUCAAUAGUGAAAGUCGGUGUUUCGGGCAGUAAUAGAUGGAUCUGCGCUGCAUGAGCUGGUUGGUACGGUAACGGCUUAUCAAGGCGAGGAUGCGUAGACGACCGGUGAGGCUGAUAGGCCACACGAGAACGUAGACACGGUCCAUGCUCCUACGGGAGGCAGCAGUCGGCAAUCUUACGCAGUGGGCGAGAGCAUGACGGAGCAACGCCGCGUGAGUGAUGACGGUCUUCGGAUCGUAAAACUCUGUUAUGAGGGAAGAACAAAUGUGUAAGUAACUAUGCACGUCUUGACGGUACCUAAUCAGAAAGCAACGGCUAACUACGUG
This 497-nucleotide ribosomal RNA is filed under the name uncultured bacterium. RNAcentral's name for it is "partial 16S ribosomal RNA". It matches the Rfam family "Bacterial small subunit ribosomal RNA", at positions 28 to 507 of the family's 1533-position model. The record is from RNAcentral.